RNAcentral lists this long non-coding RNA (366 nucleotides) under Ficedula albicollis (Collared flycatcher). RNAcentral describes it as "lncRNA (ENSFALG00000026202.1)". Lineage: Eukaryota; Metazoa; Chordata; Aves; Passeriformes; Muscicapidae. The record is from RNAcentral.
CCCCCCCCCCCCCCCCCCCCCCCCCCCCCCCCCCCCCCCCCCCCCCCCCCCCCCCCCCCCCCCCCCCCCCCCCCCCCCCCCCCGUGUGCUCCUUGGCUCAGGAGAUGUGCAGGGGGUUCCAGCCUGUGUGCUCCUUGGCUCAGGAGAUGUGCAGCAGUGCAGGGGGUUCCAGCCUGUGUGCUCCUUGGCUCAGGAGAUGUGCAGCAGUGCAGGGGGUUCCAGCCUGUGUGCUCCUUGGCUCAGGAGAUGUGCAGCAGUGCAGGGGGUUCCAGCCUGUGUGCUCCUUGGCUCAGGAGAUGUGCAGGGGGUUCCAGCCUGUGUGCUCCUUGGCUCAGGAGAUGUGCAGCAGUGCAGGGGGUUCCAGCC